This 257-nucleotide ribosomal RNA is filed under the name uncultured Glomus. Its description in RNAcentral is "partial 18S ribosomal RNA". It matches the Rfam family "Eukaryotic small subunit ribosomal RNA", at positions 624 to 886 of the family's 1831-position model. Lineage: Eukaryota; Fungi; Glomeromycota; Glomeromycetes; Glomerales; Glomeraceae. The record is from RNAcentral.
AAGCUCGUAGUUGAAUUUCGGGAUCAGACUGUCGGUCGUGCCUCGGUACGCACUGGCAUUAUUGGUUCCUACCUUCUGAAGAACCGCGAUGUCAUUAAUUUGGUGUCGUGGGGAAUCAGGACUGUUACUUUGAAAAAAUUAGAGUGUUUAAAGCAGGCUUACGCUUGAAUACAUUAGCAUGGAAUAAUGAAAUAGGACGUUUGAUUCUAUUUUGCUGGUUUCUAGGAUCGACGUAAUGAUUAAUAGGGAUAGUUGGG